This 480-nucleotide ribosomal RNA is filed under the name Phocaeicola vulgatus. Its description in RNAcentral is "bacterial SSU rRNA". It matches the Rfam family "Bacterial small subunit ribosomal RNA", at positions 56 to 525 of the family's 1533-position model. Lineage: Bacteria; Pseudomonadati; Bacteroidota; Bacteroidia; Bacteroidales; Bacteroidaceae. The record is from RNAcentral.
UGCAAGUCGAGGGGCAGCAUGGUCUUAGCUUGCUAAGGCCGAUGGCGACCGGCGCACGGGUGAGUAACACGUAUCCAACCUGCCGUCUACUCUUGGACAGCCUUCUGAAAGGAAGAUUAAUACAAGAUGGCAUCAUGAGUCCGCAUGUUCACAUGAUUAAAGGUAUUCCGGUAGACGAUGGGGAUGCGUUCCAUUAGAUAGUAGGCGGGGUAACGGCCCACCUAGUCUUCGAUGGAUAGGGGUUCUGAGAGGAAGGUCCCCCACAUUGGAACUGAGACACGGUCCAAACUCCUACGGGAGGCAGCAGUGAGGAAUAUUGGUCAAUGGGCGAGAGCCUGAACCAGCCAAGUAGCGUGAAGGAUGACUGCCCUAUGGGUUGUAAACUUCUUUUAUAAAGGAAUAAAGUCGGGUAUGCAUACCCGUUUGCAUGUACUUUAUGAAUAAGGAUCGGCUAACUCCGUGCCAGCCGCCGCGGUAAUU